This 448-nucleotide ribosomal RNA is filed under the name Stenotrophomonas sp. Its description in RNAcentral is "bacterial SSU rRNA". It matches the Rfam family "Bacterial small subunit ribosomal RNA", at positions 51 to 481 of the family's 1533-position model. Lineage: Bacteria; Pseudomonadati; Pseudomonadota; Gammaproteobacteria; Lysobacterales; Lysobacteraceae. The record is from RNAcentral.
AUACAUGCAAGUCGAGCGAACAGAUAAGGAGCUUGCUCCUUUGACGUUAGCGGCGGACGGGUGAGUAACACGUGGGUAACCUACCUAUAAGACUGGGAUAACUUCGGGAAACCGGAGCUAAUACCGGAUAACAUUUGGAACCGCAUGGUUCUAAAGUGAAAGAUGGUUUUGCUAUCACUUAUAGAUGGACCCGCGCCGUAUUAGCUAGUUGGUAAGGUAACGGCUUACCAAGGCGACGAUACGUAGCCGACCUGAGAGGGUGAUCGGCCACACUGGAACUGAGACACGGUCCAGACUCCUACGGGAGGCAGCAGUAGGGAAUCUUCCGCAAUGGGCGAAAGCCUGACGGAGCAACGCCGCGUGAGUGAUGAAGGGUUUCGGCUCGUAAAACUCUGUUAUUAGGGAAGAACAAACGUGUAAGUAACUGUGCAUGUCUUGACGGUACCUA